GUGCUUUUCUGUCGGAAGGCCACAAAGGGGCAACAUCCAUGCAGAGUUGGGGCUCCAGUUCAACAACGUGGCGUCACCCGAUCAAAUCCCACAGGCUGAUGCUGUUGCAGACACCUUAAUAAGUGCUCUAAAUAACCCCAACAACACCUUCGGCCUCGCUGUUGAUCCCACCUCCAUCCAAGUGAUUCGCUCAACAACUGGCGGGUCAACAACAACUACCGGGCCGACGACAAGUGGAGGCACCGCAGCUCCCUCACCGGUUGUGGUUCUCGCAGCAACCUUGGAAGAAGCAUUUGUAGAAGAACUCAACAAUCGCAGCAGCGUACAAUACAGAGAUCUCGAAACACGAGUUGAAACAGCGUUCGACUCCAUCUUCAGUGAGAGAUUUGGCCUCCUUUUCAUCCGCACCUUUGUCAUCGGAUUUGGUAAUCUUUUAAGUUUUGAAAGUCUCUGACUUAAACGGCAUCAGCUCAUAAUUAGAACGCUACCUUUUGGGCAAUGGU
This is a long non-coding RNA of Siniperca chuatsi (mandarin fish), 503 nucleotides long. RefSeq lists it as uncharacterized. NCBI's taxonomy places the organism in Eukaryota, Metazoa, Chordata, Actinopteri, Centrarchiformes, Sinipercidae. The record is from RefSeq and is a predicted model, not a curated record. The transcript has 3 exons.